This 344-nucleotide ribosomal RNA is filed under the name uncultured bacterium. RNAcentral's name for it is "bacterial SSU rRNA". It matches the Rfam family "Bacterial small subunit ribosomal RNA", at positions 8 to 349 of the family's 1533-position model. The record is from RNAcentral.
AGAGUUUGAUCCUGGCUCAGGACGAACGCUGGCGGCGCGCCUAACACAUGCAAGUCGAACGAGAGAGAGGGAGCUUGCUUCCUUGAUCGAGUGGCGAACGGGUGAGUAACGCGUGAGGAACCUGCCUCAAAGAGGGGGACAACAGUUGGAAACGACUGCUAAUACCGCAUAAGCCCACGACCCGGCAUCGGGAAGAGGGAAAAGGAGCAAUCCGCUUUGAGAUGGCCUCGCGUCCGAUUAGCUAGUUGGUGAGGUAACGGCCACCAAGGCGACGAUCGGUAGCCGGACUGAGAGGUUGAACGGCCACAUUGGGACUGAGACACGGCCCAGACUCCUACGGAGCA